Molecule: unclassified non-coding RNA, 793 nt
Filed under: Gibellulopsis nigrescens
Lineage: Eukaryota; Fungi; Ascomycota; Sordariomycetes; Glomerellales; Plectosphaerellaceae
Description: sequence contains 28S rRNA gene
Rfam family: Eukaryotic large subunit ribosomal RNA
Source: RNAcentral
GUAACGGCGAGUGAAGCCGCAACAGCUCAAAUUUGAAAUCUGGCUCCUUCGGGGCCCGAGUUGUAAUUUGCAGAGGAUGCUUCGGGUACGGGUUCCUUCCGAGUUCCCUGGAACGGGACGCCAUAGAGGGUGAGAGCCCCGUCUGGUAGGACACCCAGCCCGUGUGAAGCUCCCUCGACGAGUCGAGUAGUUUGGGAAUGCUGCUCUAACGGGAGGUAUACUCCUUCCAAGGCUAAAUACCGGCUGGAGACCGAUAGCGCACAAGUAGAGUGAUCGAAAGAUGAAAAGCACUUUGAAAAGAGAGUCAAAUAGCACGUGAAAUUGUUGAAAGGGAAGCGCUCGCUACCAGACAUGGGUUCGGCGGUUCAACCGGGGCCACGCCCCGGGGCACUCCGCCGGCCCAGGCCAGCAUCAGCUUUCCGUCGGGGGCAAAGACGUCGGGAAUGUGGCUCCCCUCCGGGGGAGUGUUAUAGCCCGGCGUGUCAUACCCUUCGGGGGGCUGAGGUACGCGCUUCUGCAAGGAUGCUGGCGUAAUGGUAGCUAGUGACCCGUCUUGAAACACGGACCAAGGAGUCAACCUUAUGUGCGAGUGCCCGGGCGUAAAACCCCAGCGCGGAAUGAAAGUGAACGUAGGUGAGAGCUUCGGCGCAUCACCGACCGAUCCUGAUGUCCUCGGACGGAUUUGAGUGAGAGCAUAUAGGGUUGGACCCGAAAGAAGAUGAACUAUGCGUGUGUAGGGUGAAGCCAGAGGAAACUCUGGUGGAGGCUCGCAGCGGUUCUGACGUGCAAAUCG